Molecule: ribosomal RNA, 485 nt
Filed under: Rauschtineria eutamii
Lineage: Eukaryota; Metazoa; Nematoda; Chromadorea; Rhabditida; Oxyuridae
Description: partial 12S ribosomal RNA
Source: RNAcentral
GGCUAGACUUAAGAAAUUAGAACUUUAAUUGUGGUAGACUGAAAUUUGGUUUUUUUUUAUUUGUUGCUUUUGUUGUAAAAUGUUAGAAAGUUUGUUUUAUUUGAAAUUUUUGUCUUAAAGAAUUUUUAUGAACUGGAUUAGUACCCAGGUAAUUUUUGGUUAUUAGAACAGAAGUAUAAUUAUAUUGAAACUGAAACAAUUUUGGGAGACUUUAAAUUUAUCUUUGGAGGUUGACGAGUAAUUGAGAGCCCUCAUUUUUUGCCUUUGUUUUGGUGAUAUGUAUGAUCGUCUUUUUUAUUGUUGAGCAUGUUAAAGUAAAAAGGAGUAUUUAUGAAGAUAGAUAUAUACCUACUAUAUGCAGAGGUUUUUGUUGACCUACAAUAUUAUGUUGUUUGGAUCUUUAUGGGAGACUGUAGGGUGAAAUUGGAAAAGACAGUAAAUUAAUUUUUAUGUUUAGUUGAAGAUUUAUGUUAGAGUGGUACAAA